UAGGGAAUCUUCGGCAAUGGGGGGAACCCUGAUCGAGCAACGCCGCGUGAGUGAAGAAGGUUUUCGGAUCGUAAAGCUCUGUUGUUAAGGAAGAACGAGUGUGAGAAUGGAAAGUUCAUACUGUGACGGUACUUAACCAGAAAGGGACGGCUAACUACGUGCCAGCAGCCGCGGUAAUACGUAGGUCCCGAGCGUUGUCCGGAUUUAUUGGGCGUAAAGCGAGCGCAGGCGGUUAGAUAAGUCUGAAGUUAAAGGCAGUGGCUCAACCAUUGUAGGCUUUGGAAACUGUUUAACUUGAGUGCAGAAGUGGAGAGUGGAAUUCCAUGUGUAGCGGUGAAAUGCGUAGAUAUAUGGAGGAACACCGGUGGCGAAAGCGGCUCUCUGGUCUGUAACUGACGCUGAGGCUCGAAAGCGUGGGGAGCGAACAGG
This 429-nucleotide ribosomal RNA is filed under the name Bacteroidota bacterium. Its description in RNAcentral is "Bacteroidetes bacterium partial 16S ribosomal RNA". It matches the Rfam family "Bacterial small subunit ribosomal RNA", at positions 355 to 776 of the family's 1533-position model. Lineage: Bacteria; Pseudomonadati; Bacteroidota. The record is from RNAcentral.